CGCGUGAGCAAUCUACCUUAGUUACUGGGAUAGCCCGAGGAAACUCGGAUUGAUACCGGAUAUUCUUUAUUUUUCACAUGUAAGUUUAAAGGGAAAGGUCAGCCGAACUAAGAUGAGCUCGUCGUUCUAUCAGCUAGUUGGUAGGGGUAAAAGCCUACCAAGGCGACGAUCUCUAGCUGGUUUGAGAGGAUGAUCCAGCCACACUGGGACUGAGACACGGCCCAGACUCCUACGGGAGGCAGCAGUGGGGAAUAUUGCACAAGUGGGGGAAACCCUGAUGCAGCCAUGCCGCGUGUGUAG
This 300-nucleotide ribosomal RNA is filed under the name uncultured Alphaproteobacteria bacterium. RNAcentral describes it as "bacterial SSU rRNA". It matches the Rfam family "Bacterial small subunit ribosomal RNA", at positions 114 to 408 of the family's 1533-position model. The record is from RNAcentral. Lineage: Bacteria; Pseudomonadati; Pseudomonadota; Alphaproteobacteria.